This 458-nucleotide ribosomal RNA is filed under the name uncultured bacterium. RNAcentral describes it as "partial 16S ribosomal RNA". It matches the Rfam family "Bacterial small subunit ribosomal RNA", at positions 338 to 795 of the family's 1533-position model. The record is from RNAcentral.
CCUACGGGUGACAGCAGUGAGGAAUAUUGGUCAAUGGCCGGAAGGCUGAACCAGCCAUGCCGCGUGAAGGUCAGUGCCCUAUGGGCGUUAAACUUCUUUUGUGCGGGAGCAAUAAUGGUCACGUGUGGCCAGACGAGAGUACCGUACGAAUAAGCAUCGGCUAACUCCGUGCCAGCAGCCGCGGUAAUACGGAGGAUGCGAGCGUUAUCCGGAUUUAUUGGGUUUAAAGGGUGCGCAGGCGGGAGAUCAAGUCAGCGGUAAAAUGUCGGGGCUCAACCCCGGCCGGCCGUUGAAACUGGUUUUCUAGAGUUGGAGAGAAGUAUGCGGAAUUCGUGGUGUAGCGGUGAAAUGCAUAGAUAUCACGAAGAACUCCGAUUGCGAAGGCAGCAUACCGGCUCCAUACUGACGCUGAGGCACGAAAGCGUGGGGAUCGAACAGGAUUAGAUACCCCAGUAGUC